GGGCUCGCAGGCGGUUUCUUAAGUCUGAUGUGAAAGCCCCCGGCUCAACCGGGGAGGGUCAUUGGAAACUGGGGAACUUGAGUGCAGAAGAGGAGAGUGGAAUUCCACGUGUAGCGGUGAAAUGCGUAGAGAUGUGGAGGAACACCAGUGGCGAAGGCGACUCUCUGGUCUGUAACUGACGCUGAGGAGCGAAAGCGUGGGGAGCGAACAGGAUUAGAUACCCUGGUAGUCCACGCCGUAAACGAUGAGUGCUAAGUGUUAGGGGGUUUCCGCCCCUUAGUGCUGCAGCUAACGCAUUAAGCACUCCGCCUGGGGAGUACGGUCGCAAGACUGAAACUCAAAGGAAUUGACGGGGGCCCGCACAAGCGGUGGAGCAUGUGGUUUAAUUCGAAGCAACGCGAAGAACCUUACCAGGUCUUGACAUCCUCUGACAAUCCUAGAGAUAGGACGUCCCCUUCGGGGGCAGAGUGACAGGUGGUGCAUGGUUGUCGUCAGCUCGUGUCGUGAGAUGUUGGGUUAAGUCCCGCAACGAGCGCAACCCUUGAUCUUAGUUGCCAGCAUUCAGUUGGGCACUCUAAGGUGACUGCCGGUGACAAACCGGAGGAAGGUGGGGAUGACGUCAAAUCAUCAUGCCCCUUAUGACCUGGGCUACACACGUGCUACAAUGGACAGAACAAAGGGCAGCGAAACCGCGAGGUUAAGCCAAUCCCACAAAUCUGUUCUCAGUUCGGAUCGCAGUCUGCAACUCGACUGCGUGAAGCUGGAAUCGCUAGUAAUCGCGGAU
This 784-nucleotide ribosomal RNA is filed under the name Bacillus subtilis. RNAcentral describes it as "bacterial SSU rRNA". It matches the Rfam family "Bacterial small subunit ribosomal RNA", at positions 565 to 1349 of the family's 1533-position model. Lineage: Bacteria; Bacillati; Bacillota; Bacilli; Caryophanales; Bacillaceae. The record is from RNAcentral.